This 497-nucleotide ribosomal RNA is filed under the name uncultured bacterium. RNAcentral describes it as "partial 16S ribosomal RNA". It matches the Rfam family "Bacterial small subunit ribosomal RNA", at positions 28 to 507 of the family's 1533-position model. The record is from RNAcentral.
GACGAACGCUGGCGGCGUGCCUAAUACAUGCAAGUUGAGCGCUGAAGGUUGGUACUUGUACCAACUGGAUGAGCAGCGAACGGGUGAGUAACGCGUGGGGAAUCUGCCUUUGAGCGGGGGACAACAUUUGGAAACGAAUGCUAAUACCGCAUAAAAACUUUAAACACAAGUUUUAAGUUUGAAAGAUGCAAUUGCAUCACUCAAAGAUGAUCCCGCGUUGUAUUAGCUAGUUGGUGAGGUAAAGGCUCACCAAGGCGAUGAUACAUAGCCGACCUGAGAGGGUGAUCGGCCACAUUGGGACUGAGACACGGCCCAAGCUCCUACGGGAGGCAGCAGUAGGGAAUCUUCGGCAAUGGACGAAGGUCUGACCGAGCAACGCCGCGUGAGUGAAGAAGGUUUUCGGAUCGUAAAACUCUGUUGGUAGAGAAGAACGUUGGUGAGAGUGGAAAGCUCAUCAAGUGACGGUAACUACCCAGAAAGGGACGGCUAACUACGUG